UCCGUAGGUGAACCUGCGGAAGGAUCAUUAACUAAAUUUGUACGUAAGUACAUAAACCUUUGUGAAUUGGGGGAUUUAUCCCUUUAUAUAAAACUUGGAGUCUAUAAAAUAUUAAAAUAUUAAAAACUUUUAACAACGGAUCUCUAGGCUCUUGCAACGAUGAAGAACGCAGUGAAUGCGAUAAGUAAUGUGACUUGCUUUACUGUGAAUCAUUGAAUUUUUGAACGCACCUUGCACUAUUCACUCUAAAGAAUAGUAUACUUGUUUGAGUAUCAUAAAAACCAACCAACGCUAUGUUGUGGAAGAUGAGGCUUUACUAUUGUAUGCCUUUAAAAGUAAGUUUCCAACAGUGAGGCAAGUUCCCACUAACUGGAGACACUUGAACAUUGAUCCCAAAUCAAGUAGGACUACCCACUGAACUUAAGCAUAUCAGUAAGUGGAGGAAAAGAAACUAACAAGGAUUCCCUUAGUAACGGCGAGUGAAGCGGGAUGAGCUCAAAUUUAAAAUCCGAGGGGUUUCCCUUCUGAAUUGUAGUUUAUAGAAAUGUUUUCCGUAUAGGGCAUUGGCAUAAGUUCUUUGGAACAAGACAUCAUAGAGGGUGAGAAUCCCGUUUAUGGUCUUUGCCUUUAUACAUUGUGAUACAUUUUCAAAGAGUCGAGUUGUUUGGGAUUACAGCUCUAAUUGGGUGGUAAAUUUCAUCUAAAGCUAAAUAUUGGCAAGAGACCGAUAGCGAACAAGUACCGUGAGGGAAAGAUGAAAAGAACUUUGAAAAGAGAGUUAAAAGUACGUGAAAUUGUUAAAAGGGAAACGCUUGAAGU
RNAcentral lists this ribosomal RNA (819 nucleotides) under uncultured fungus. RNAcentral's name for it is "eukaryotic LSU rRNA". The stretch from base 388 to 819 matches the Rfam family "Eukaryotic large subunit ribosomal RNA", at positions 1 to 429 of the family's 3401-position model. The record is from RNAcentral. Lineage: Eukaryota; Fungi.